Molecule: RNA transcript, 1770 nt
Organism: Drosophila willistoni
Lineage: Eukaryota; Metazoa; Arthropoda; Insecta; Diptera; Drosophilidae
Exons: 3
Source: RefSeq, a predicted model, not a curated record
ACUCGCAAAGUGUAAUAGUGUGUGUUCUGCGCAUAAACGAACUCGUGGAAACGAGAACGAAAGACGAAUAAGCAAAACGAAAAAUCAACGAACAUACAAGUGUGAAAGAAAGCUUUGCAGCAAAAAUGUAGACAAGCUGGAUUGUCAACAUCAGGAAAUCGAGAACAAUUACAGAGAAAACUAACCGCGAUCUGUAGUGACGACGAAUACGCCAGUGCGGAAAAUCAAUCAAUGGCUAAAAAGAUAAACGAAUUAGAAAAAACGAUUAGAGUAUUGCAGGAGCGUUCAUUCCAACCUGCAAUGAUUUCGUCACCAAUUAAGCUUAGUGACGUAAACGUACAAGAAGUUUCUGGAGAAAGAAACGUGCAUUUGACAAAUGAACGAACAAACGUAACGUAUUUGCCAAACAAUAACAAUGCUACGUAUCAGCAGUACGAUAGUGUGGCUACGAUUCAGCAACUCGGUAACACUGCUACGACUCAGCAGUUCAGUAAUGUUGCUACGUUUCAGCAACUCGGUAACACUGCCACGUCUCAGCAGAUCAUGUCGAUACUUCGCAACAACUCGGCUAUGCAGCUCUCAGCAGCACGCUUACUUUGCUAUGUCUCGGCAACCCAAUUACAUUGUUACAUCGCAACACGGCUAUAUGGUUACGCCUCACCAACACGUACCCUUCGCUCCGACUCAUCAAAGUGGUAACAUUGCUACGACCCAGCAGUACAAUAACGUCGUUACAUCACAGCAAGAUAAUUAUGUUACAACGUCACGGAAUUACCUAAGCAAAAGUAGGUAAAACACAAAUGUAGCUCUUGUUCCUGAAUUUAAUCCAUCGUCCGUAAAAUCAUUGGAUUCGCAUCAGUUUGUUAAACGUGUGGAAACUCUGAAAAACGCUUAUAAAUGGGACGACAGAAAGAUAAUUUUUACUGUUCACCAAAAGAUGCACGGUGCAGCUCGUUACUGGGUGGAUGCAACGACUUCGCAUGUAUCAGCAACGCAGCUGAUGUUCAUUUAAAAAUUUUGAAAACCAUCGGGAAACAAAGGAAGCUAUUGGUAAAAAGGUUAACGGAAACGAAACAAACGCAUUCGUCGUUCCAGGUAGUACACUUACUCUGAUUCGAAAAUCAUUUGCAGAAAACGUAGGCGUUUUGUAACGAUGUGCAAUAACCCUGAAUGGAUUUGGAGGAGAAACAUUUUUCUGUAACCAAAAACUAAAUGCGAAAGUCGUUGUUGACAAGAUAGGUUGAAAUUCUUGUAGUGGAAAAUGACUUAAUAUCUGAAAAAGUUUUAUUGGGUAAGGAUAUUCUUUGUCGAGAUGGCAAUAAACUAAUUAUUCACGGAAACAAAUGUUUUAUCGAAAACAUACGCCAAAUAGAAACGACUCAAAAUCGAGCGGAUACGGAAAACGAAAAAUUGGAAAAAGUCUUAACAGAUAAUGCUGCUUGUUUCUUGCACAAGACCAACGAAUUAGGUAAACGUUCAAUAUCGAAAAUGAAAAUCGUUUUAACAUCAAACGUCCCAUGUUAUACGAAACCAUACCGAACACCGUUUGCGCUCAGACCUAUUGUUACGAAUUUCAUAUCUGAAUUAUUGUAAAACGUCAUUCGACAUUCGUCCUUCGGAUUCGACGUACGCCUCGGGAAUCGUCAUCGUAGAUAAAAAGAAUGGAGAACAUCGUCUUUGCGUCGACUAUCGUCGCCAAGUAUUAACAGUAUUACGGUCAAAAUUCCAUUUCCUAUGCCAAACAUGGAAGAGCAAUUCGCUCAACUAGCU